GAUGAAGAACGUAGUGAAAUGCGAUAAGUAAUGUGAAUUGCAGAAUUCAGUGAAUCAUCGAAUCUUUGAACGCACCUUGCACCCUUUGGACUGCUCCAAAGGGUAUGCUCGUUUGAGUGUCAUUGUACUCUCACACUCUCUGAUCCUUUGGAUUUGGGGAGCAGUGGACUUGGGUGCUUGCUGCUUCCUUGUGGCUCACCUGAAAUGCAUCAGUGCAUCUCUCGAUUGGACAUAGUACGGCGUGAUAAGUGUCUUCGCCGGCACCUCGCAAGAGGGUGGCCGAUCGGGAGCUCUGCGCUUUCAAACCGUCUUAGGACAAUUUCUGACAUCUUGACCUCAAAUCGAGUAGGACUACCCGCUGAACUUAAGCAUAUCAAUAAGCGGAGGA
RNAcentral lists this unclassified non-coding RNA (388 nucleotides) under soil metagenome. Its description in RNAcentral is "partial contains 5.8S ribosomal RNA, internal transcribed spacer 2, and large subunit ribosomal RNA". The stretch from base 1 to 122 matches the Rfam family "5.8S ribosomal RNA", at positions 35 to 154 of the family's 154-position model. The record is from RNAcentral.